CAACUGUAGAAUUUUCUUAGCUCUCCACAAGAGUCCAGUACUCCUUAGAUUUCAGGAAAUUUUCCAUCAACAAACUCCAAUGAUCAUAGUGACCAUUGUGGAAUAGCAGGUUGAACAAAGCUACUAUUUUCAGAAGUCAUUAUAACAAUCUUGCUACUGCAAGAAUGAAAGCUGCUGCUUUUUCAAAAUCAAAUCAGGCCCCAGUAGGGAGCUCUGAUACCAAAUGUUGCAGAUGUAUAAGAAAAUAUUUGCUGCAAAGUGAAAACUAAUAUAUUGACUUGAAAGUGAUUAAAUACAAAAGCAACCAACUAAAAUACUAGAAAAUAGGAAAUCACUAAUCCCACAUUUACAACUUCUAAUAACACGGGAUACUCCUAAGAAUACUUCUAAGAAAAGUAACAAAAGCAACAGACCUUCCUAACAAAUAGGAUUUUAUUAAAGAAACUAACAAUUAGGCUAUGUGGCGUGAUUUUCUCCCUAACGCCGACUUAUUGGGCCAUGUGGCGUGAUUUUAUUUAAAUUUCUUGACCAAAAAAAUAAAGCAUAUUUAAACAUUUUUUAUGUGUUGGGGGAGGUGAGGAUUGAAUUGUUUGCAAUGAUUCUAUAGUUUACAAUGAUAUGUCUAAGUCAGAGAAUUGACUGAAAAUUGUCUAGAAAUUGUCACAAUUUUUGUUGGAUGAUGAUAACUGCUACUCUGGUUUGCUUCUUAGGUUUAUUUUUUAACCUUUAUGAAUUCAAUCUCAUUAGAAUUACUGCUAAGUUGCCUAUGAUAUGAUUCUACAAUUGUUCUCUUCUCAAUGAUGUUGAUCAGGAUAUACAUGACUUAUACAGUUAUACUACAUUUUUUGGUUACUUGAGUUAAAAUAUUUUUAUAAAAAUUGUAUUGAUCUUAUAUUUUAAUGACUCUAGUUUAUAUGUUUAUACUUGAUAUAUAUCUAUAUCUUGUACCUGUACUCUAGUUUUCAGCCAUACAUGUACUGUACCGAUUACUCAUACUCGAAUCCAUGCAAUUCACCAUCAACGUAUGUUCCCUGCUAGUGUAAGAGAGCAAAAUUAAACCAUAGUACAAAAUUUUGUAUCACAUUAGUAUAAACUCAAAUCCUUGACUUGUGCGUGAUGAUUCUUGUUUGGUUUUCUCUACCUUCUGACAUGUAUUUUGUUGUUCGUUUACAACUAUAAAUGUAAGACGAGCCUAGCCUGUAUGAAU
RNAcentral lists this long non-coding RNA (1207 nucleotides) under Trifolium pratense (red clover). RNAcentral's name for it is "long non-coding RNA (TPRA_LNC000420)". The record is from RNAcentral. Lineage: Eukaryota; Viridiplantae; Streptophyta; Magnoliopsida; Fabales; Fabaceae.